GCAAACUUGGUCAUUUAGAGGAAGUAAAAGUCGUAACAAGGUUUCCGUAGGUGAACCUGCGGAAGGAUCAUUAUAGUAUUCUAUUGCCAGCGCUUAGUUGCGCGGCGAUAAACCUUCUACACACACUGUUUAUAUUUUAUGAACUUUCUGCUUUGGGUGAGAGUGACCGCUCUUGCCCAGAGGAUUUAAACACAGAGAUUUUACUAUCUUUUUUACAACUUAUAGUCAUGAAAAUUUUUACCAAAAUUAAAAUAUUCAAAACUUUCAACAACGGAUCUCUUGGUUCUCGCAUCGAUGAAGAACGCAGC
RNAcentral lists this unclassified non-coding RNA (308 nucleotides) under uncultured fungus. Its description in RNAcentral is "partial contains small subunit ribosomal RNA, internal transcribed spacer 1, and 5.8S ribosomal RNA". The stretch from base 1 to 73 matches the Rfam family "Eukaryotic small subunit ribosomal RNA", at positions 1759 to 1831 of the family's 1831-position model. The record is from RNAcentral. Lineage: Eukaryota; Fungi.